This 492-nucleotide ribosomal RNA is filed under the name uncultured bacterium. Its description in RNAcentral is "partial 16S ribosomal RNA". It matches the Rfam family "Bacterial small subunit ribosomal RNA", at positions 29 to 507 of the family's 1533-position model. The record is from RNAcentral.
AGUGAACGCUGGCGGUAGGCCUAACACAUGCAAGUCGAACGGCAGCACAGUAAGAGCUUGCUCUUACGGGUGGCGAGUGGCGGACGGGUGAGGAAUACAUCGGAAUCUACUUUUUCGUGGGGGAUAACGUAGGGAAACUUACGCUAAUACCGCAUACGACCUACGGGUGAAAGCGGGGGAUCUUCGGACCUUGCGCGAUUGAAUGAGCCGAUGUCGGAUUAGCUAGUUGGCGGGGUAAAGGCCCACCAAGGCGACGAUCCGUAGCUGGUCUGAGAGGAUGAUCAGCCACACUGGAACUGAGACACGGUCCAGACUCCUACGGGAGGCAGCAGUGGGGAAUAUUGGACAAUGGGCGCAAGCCUGAUCCAGCCAUACCGCGUGGGUGAAGAAGGCCUUCGGGUUGUAAAGCCCUUUUGUUGGGAAAGAGAAGCAGCAGGUUAAUACCCCGCUGUUCUGACGGUACCCAAAGAAUAAGCACCGGCUAACUUCGUG